Molecule: ribosomal RNA, 301 nt
Filed under: uncultured bacterium
Lineage: Bacteria
Description: partial 16S ribosomal RNA
Rfam family: Bacterial small subunit ribosomal RNA
Source: RNAcentral
CGUCGCCACGGGAAUACGUAGGGUGCAAGCGUUAAUCGGAAUUACUGGGCGUAAAGCGUGCGCAGGCGGUUAUAUAAGACAGAUGUGAAAUCCCCGGGCUCAACCUGGGAACUGCAUUUGUGACUGUAUAGCUAGAGUACGGCAGAGGGGGAUGGAAUUCCGCGUGUAGCAGUGAAAUGCGUAGAUAUGCGGAGGAACACCGAUGGCGAAGGCAAUCCCCUGGGCCUGUACUGACGCUCAUGCACGAAAGCGUGGGGAGCAAACAGGAUUAGAUACCCCGGUAGUCCCUGUCUCUUAUACA